This is a long non-coding RNA of Hippocampus zosterae (dwarf seahorse), 2881 nucleotides long. RefSeq lists it as uncharacterized. The transcript is spliced from 3 exons. Lineage: Eukaryota; Metazoa; Chordata; Actinopteri; Syngnathiformes; Syngnathidae. The record is from RefSeq and is a predicted model, not a curated record.
AUGUUUUAUUUUAAUGACAAAUACACAUUUCACAUCGUUUUUGUUACUUGGCACACAGAUGCACUUCCAAUCUGGAUACAUUGUAUCACCACUGUGAUUGUUCCUCCCACUAAUCACUGAUGAUUUUGUGUCUCUAAACAUACUUUUAACGCAGAUUUUAUUUUAAUUUUUUUACUUGUUUCUAACACAUUAGAUUUUUCAGAUAUUUUCAUUUUUUGUUUUUAAGUUUGACCGACUCUAUAAAAGCUAGCGCGAUACGCAUUUUACCAUAUGUUGUAAUUUAUAGCAUUGAUGUUUCAGUAAAACAAAAAAACUAAUAUUACGAUAUUACAUUUAUUAUUCAUUAUUAUUAUUAUUAUUUAGAGGUGUCAAAUUAUCACGUUAAUUGUGAAUAAUUAGUCAUAUUUAGCACAUUAUGUUUUUUAAUCACGUUAAUCAAAAUUUUAAUCUCUAACUUCAUUGUUUCUGUAGGUGGGUUGCCUUUUUCUAACAUCCCUUUUUAUGUGUUGGCUUCCUGUGAUCGAGCUGUUGAUUGUGGGGGAGCAACUAUCAGUCACAGCCUGACGCGGACAUUGAUUGGCUGCCAUUAGGUUUGGGCUUGUUUAGCAUAAGCUGACUGACUCCCAUCAGAGUUGGGCGGGCUAAGUAAGCAGCUUUGAGGAGAGGUGAAAAUGGAGGAGCAUGUGAGCUUUCUCUGCACAAUGAAUGGACAAUUUACAUUCCAAAAAUGCCCUGACGGCACUAUUGAUAAAGGUAGAGUGUUGUGCCUAAUUCGUAAGGAGUUUUCUUACCAACAAAGCAGCUCACGUUUAGCCUCCUACAUCAAUGCAAAGCACCCAGUCGCGAGUGCAGCCACGGCUAACGUUAGCACCGAAAGCAUUAGCAAUAGAGGGAGCCAUAGCAAAGCUCUUCGCCAAACUAAACUCAAGGAGAACACCCCGCGUAUUGGGCAUAGCUGCUGUGUCCUCUUGUAGCCUAUUAUAGACUUUUUCAAGAUGGCGCCCGAGUAGGCAGCCUUCAGCAAGUGCUCUUCAAGAGCCUUGCUUUUUUUGUUCUUUUUGGGUGUUUUUGUCUUUUGUUUUGUCACAUGUUGUUUGUUGUUUCAUCGUGUGGACCUGAUAUUGACUGUUUUCAGCACUUUUUGGCCACGACAUUCGUCAAAGGAGAAAUAUAUGUGCUUGGUGGUUGCGCCUUUUCGGCAGAUGCACUUUUGUAGCCUGUUAACUAUCGUAGCUCACACGUACCGUUUUAAAGUGCUUCCCUGGGCCGUCUUGGAUUCCUAUUCUUUCCCCGUGUCCUCGGUGAAUUGUACACGAAGCAAACUCUGAAUGAGAAUAAUGACGAUAAAAGAUACAGCGCAACAGCUCUUAUCACAAGCUGCAAUUGCAGACUCCUGAGCGCUAACAACUUCCGAUCAUAAUCCCGCGCCACCGUAAAUUCAAGAUUUACCUGCUUUAUUUUAUUUUUUAAUUUUUUUUGUGUGUAAAUGGGACUGAUAGGAUGAUUAGGGUGCAGCGUACAUUAACACAAAAAAUAUAUUACUAACAUGUACAAAAACAGACAAAUGGUUGUUUGUUUUUUUUUCUCCUCGACACUCCUCGGAUCUACUUGGGACCUGUCUUAAAUCUACCGGUAGAUCAGGAUCCACGUAAUGGGGACCCCUGGUAUAGACGAUAUAAACAAUAUAAACAGCAUAAACAACAACAUAAACAAUGGCGCUUGUGGCUAUUGUGGGUAGAGUGAGGUAGUGCAUUAUAUACACUUCAUCAUCAAAUCAGUCUGUUCAGUCUGUUAAGUGGGUUGGCUGCAGGGAUUUUGAAGGUCCAGCAGGUGGCAGUGAUCAGCGACACAGUAUCAGCACAGUAUCAAUGCAGUAUCUCAUUGUAUCGACACGCCUCAAACAUUUUCGACCGUUUUUAAAAAAUUCUUAAAAAUGUAAUCUUUGUUCUCCCGUGAGGGCUGUAGAUAGUGAUGGGUCCAGCGACACCGAUGCAUUGACACAUGCGCCGGGCUCACAGAGCAAACCACGUGUCGAUGCAUGUGCUGCUUCAUUACGUCACGUGAUUGACACGUGAACCGCAUUGACACAGUCGAGGCUUCUAAUUGACACACCGGCUGCGUUGACACAGUCCAGGCUGCUAAUUGACACAUCGACUGUGUUGACACAGUCCAGGCUGCUAAUUGACACAUCGGCUGCGUUGACACAGUCCAGGCUGCUAAUUGACACGUGAACUGCACCGGUGCAGUUUAGACCGCAUCGGCUGCUUGGCACCGUACAGGCUGCGCCACUUAGUCCAGGGGGCGGCGACUCAGUGCAGAGGGUGUUGACGCAGCAAAAGCCCGCCGCACAGUGUUUAUAAGGAAGUGGGUUUGGCGACACAAUGCCACUUGCCGAAACAAGCCAGACCUCACUCACGCUCGCUUGUCGAAGUUCGUGUCAGUGCAGACUUCGUGUUCGUGCCUUGCCUUCCUUGUCGAUUAUGGAGCAGAGACGCAAAUCAUCCGCCGUGUGGGACCAUUUUGAUGUCCUGGAGAAUAAGGUGAAAUGUCGAAUUUGCCAAGUCGAAUUGUCAUACACCAACAGAAGCACCUCCACCAUGCUGAGGCAUUAUCGGGCCAAGCAUGAGAAUGAAGUUCGCGAUACACACAGUAUUACGCCAGGUUCCAGGAAGCAGCUGUACUGGAAGGACCAACACACUUCUUUCCCAAACCUCUCCCACCUCGCAAAGGAGUUCCUUUGUACGCCAGCCUCAUCCGUCCCUUGUGAGCGUAUGUUCUCCACAGCAGGAGAAAUCGCUUGUAAAAGACGCAACAGGCUGAAGUUUAAAACAUUGGAGCAUCUUAUUUUUCUCAAUAAAAAUUUGUGAAAUAAAAGCCCACA